Molecule: unclassified non-coding RNA, 284 nt
Organism: Cricetulus griseus (Chinese hamster)
Lineage: Eukaryota; Metazoa; Chordata; Mammalia; Rodentia; Cricetidae
Gene: 7SK
Rfam family: 7SK RNA
About the family: 7SK was discovered as an abundant small nuclear RNA in the mid-70s but a possible function has only recently been suggested.
Source: Ensembl
UGAUAAAAACAGAUCCGGAUGUGACGUAGCCCCACCUGUCAGCCACUGGUUGGGGUUGACCUGGCUGGCUAGGAGGUGUCCCCUAUCUCCUUCGCCACCCCAAAGCUACACGCUGGGUCAAAGAGAAUAGAUAGAGAAAUCUUUGGUUCAAAAUGUGUGAGCAGCCGCAUUUUCUGCCACAACCUCAAAUAAGCUCUUCAGUUCCAUUUGCAGGAGGGUGGAGACCCAAGCUUCAAGCUCCAGAUACAUCCAUGCUGCGUGCAUGUGGCAAUCUGCUUUUCUUU